GACGAACCGUGCAAACGUUGUUCGGAAUCACUGGGCUUAAAGGGCGCGUAGGCGGGUUCCCAAGUCGGUGGUGAAAUCUUUCGGCCCAACCGGAAAAGUGCCGCCGAUACUGGGAGUCUUGAGGGAGGUAGGGGUCGAGGGAACUGGUGGUGGAGCGGUGAAAUGCGUAGAUAUCACUAGGAACGCCGGUGGCGAAAGCGCUCGACUGGACCUCUUCUGACGCUGAGGCGCGAAAGCCAGGGGAGCAAAC
Molecule: ribosomal RNA, 250 nt
Filed under: uncultured bacterium
Lineage: Bacteria
Description: partial 16S ribosomal RNA
Rfam family: Bacterial small subunit ribosomal RNA
Source: RNAcentral